Molecule: ribosomal RNA, 494 nt
Filed under: uncultured bacterium
Lineage: Bacteria
Description: partial 16S ribosomal RNA
Rfam family: Bacterial small subunit ribosomal RNA
Source: RNAcentral
GACGAACGCUGGCGGCGUGCUUAACACAUGCAAGUCGAACGGAAAGGCCUGCUUUCCCUUGUGGUUUGCGGGUACUCGAGUGGCGAACGGGUGAGUAACACGCGAGUGAUCUGCCCCCAACUUGGGUAUAAGCCUGGGAAACUGGGUCUAAUUCUCGAUAGGACUGCAGGGUGGUGCCUGUGGUGGAAAACGAUUUUCUAGUGGUUGGGGAUGAGCUCGCGGCCUAUCAGCUUGUUGGUGGGGUAAUGGACUACCAAGGCGGGGACGGGAAGCCGGCCUGAGAGGGGGGACGGCCGCAUUGGGACUGGGAUACGGCCCAGACUGCUACGGGAGGCAGCAGUUGGGAAGAAUGGGCAAUGAGCGGGAGCCUGAUGCAGCGACGCCGCGUGGGAGAUGUCGGGCUUCGAGUUGUAAGCUCCUUGCGACCGCGAGGAAGCCACGUGGUUGGAAGGGUGGUGACGGUAGUGGUAGAAGAAGCACCGGCUAACUACGUG